RNAcentral lists this ribosomal RNA (897 nucleotides) under Acinetobacter radioresistens. RNAcentral describes it as "bacterial SSU rRNA". It matches the Rfam family "Bacterial small subunit ribosomal RNA", at positions 56 to 946 of the family's 1533-position model. Lineage: Bacteria; Pseudomonadati; Pseudomonadota; Gammaproteobacteria; Moraxellales; Moraxellaceae. The record is from RNAcentral.
UGCAGUCGAGCGGGGAGAAGGUAGCUUGCUACUGGAACCUAGCGGCGGACGGGUGAGUAAUACUUAGGAAUCUGCCUAUUAGUGGGGGACAACGUUCCGAAAGGAGCGCUAAUACCGCAUACGCCCUACGGGGGAAAGCAGGGGAUCACUUGUGACCUUGCGCUAAUAGAUGAGCCUAAGUCAGAUUAGCUAGUUGGUGGGGUAAAGGCCUACCAAGGCGACGAUCUGUAACGGGUCUGAGAGGAUGAUCCGUCACACUGGGACUGAGACACGGCCCAGACUCCUACGGGAGGCAGCAGUGGGGAAUAUUGGACAAUGGGGGGAACCCUGAUCCAGCCAUGCCGCGUGUGUGAAGAAGGCCUUUUGGUUGUAAAGCACUUUAAGCGAGGAGGAGAGUACCCUGGUUAAUACCCAGGAGUGCUGGACGUUACUCGCAGAAUAAGCACCGGCUAACUCUGUGCCAGCAGCCGCGGUAAUACAGAGGGUGCGAGCGUUAAUCGGAUUUACUGGGCGUAAAGCGCGCGUAGGCGGCUCUUUAAGUCGGAUGUGAAAUCCCCGAGCUUAACUUGGGAAUUGCAUUCGAUACUGGGGGGCUAGAGUAUAGGAGAGGAUGGUAGAAUUCCAGGUGUAGCGGUGAAAUGCGUAGAGAUCUGGAGGAAUACCGAUGGCGAAGGCAGCCAUCUGGCCUAAUACUGACGCUGAGGUGCGAAAGCAUGGGGAGCAAACAGGAUUAGAUACCCUGGUAGUCCAUGCCGUAAACGAUGUCUACUAGCCGUUGGGGCCUUUGAGGCUUUAGUGGCGCAGCUACGCGAUAAGUAGACCGCCUGGGGAGUACGGUCGCAAGACUAAAACUCAAAUGAAUUGACGGGGCCCGCACAAGCGGUGGAGCAUGUGGUU